AGCAGCCGCGGUAAUUCCAGCUCCAAUAGCGUAUAUUAAAGUUGCUGCAGUUAAAAAGCUCGUAGUUGAAUUUCGGGACUAUCAUGUCGGUCGUGCCUCGGUACGUACUGGUAUUGUUGGUUUCUCCCUUCUGACGAACCAUGAUGUCAUUUAUUUGGUGUUGUGGGGAAUCAGGACUGUUACUUUGAAAAAAUUAGAGUGUUUAAAGCAGGCUCACGCUUGAAUACAUUAGCAUGGAAUAAUGAAAUAGGACGUUUGAUUCUAUUUUGUUGGUUUCUAGGAUCGACGUAAUGAUUAAUAGGGAUAGUUGGGGGCAUUAGUAUUCAAUUGUCAGGGGUGAAAUUCUUGGAUUUAUUGAAGACUAACUACUGCGAAAGCAUUUGCCAAGGAUGUUUUCAUUAAUCAAGAACGAAAGUUAGGGGAUCGAAGACGAUCAGAUACCGUCGUAGUCUUAACCAUAAACUAUGCCGACUAGGGAUCGGAUGAUGUUAAUUUUUAAUGACUCAUUCGGCGCCUUAAC
Molecule: ribosomal RNA, 520 nt
Filed under: uncultured Glomus
Lineage: Eukaryota; Fungi; Glomeromycota; Glomeromycetes; Glomerales; Glomeraceae
Description: SSU rRNA
Rfam family: Eukaryotic small subunit ribosomal RNA
Source: RNAcentral